Molecule: unclassified non-coding RNA, 334 nt
Filed under: soil metagenome
Description: partial contains 5.8S ribosomal RNA, internal transcribed spacer 2, and large subunit ribosomal RNA
Rfam family: 5.8S ribosomal RNA (bases 1-119)
Source: RNAcentral
GAUGAAGACGUAGCGAAAUGCGAUAAGUAAUGUGAAUUGCAGAAUUCAGUGAAUCAUCGAAUCUUUGAACGCACAUUGCGCCCAUUAGCAUUCUAGUGGGCAUGCCUGUUCGAGCGUCAUUUCAACCCUUAAGCCCUGUUGCUUAGCGUUGGGAGCCUACAGUACUGUAGCUCCCCAAAGUUAGUGGCGGAGUCGGUUUCACACUCUAGACGUAGUAAUUUUUUCUCGUCUGUAGUUGAGCCGGUCCCCUGCCGUAAAACACCCAAUUUAUCAAGGUUGACCUCGGAUCAGGUAGGAAUACCCGCUGAACUUAAGCAUAUCAAUAAGCGGAGGA